This 332-nucleotide unclassified non-coding RNA is filed under the name soil metagenome. RNAcentral describes it as "partial contains 5.8S ribosomal RNA, internal transcribed spacer 2, and large subunit ribosomal RNA". The stretch from base 1 to 120 matches the Rfam family "5.8S ribosomal RNA", at positions 35 to 154 of the family's 154-position model. The record is from RNAcentral.
GAUGAAGAACGCAGCAAAAUGCGAUAAGUAAUGUGAAUUGCAGAAUUCAGUGAAUCAUCGAAUCUUUGAACGCACAUUGCGCCCGCCAGUAUUCUGGCGGGCAUGCCUGUUCGAGCGUCAUUUCAACCCUCAAGCACAGCUUGGUGUUGGGACUCGCGUUAAUUCGCGUUCCCCAAAUUGAUUGGCGGUCACGUCGAGCUUCCAUAGCGUAGUAGUAAAACCCUCGUUACUGGUAAUCGUCGCGGCCACGCCGUUAAACCCCAACUUCUGAAUGUUGACCUCGGAGCAGGUAGGAAUACCCGCUGAACUUAAGCAUAUCAAUAAGCGGAGGA